RNAcentral lists this long non-coding RNA (583 nucleotides) under Neogobius melanostomus (round goby). RNAcentral describes it as "lncRNA (ENSNMLG00000002707.1)". Lineage: Eukaryota; Metazoa; Chordata; Actinopteri; Gobiiformes; Gobiidae. The record is from RNAcentral.
CCGCUCUAUGGCAAAAUCCUUUCUGGGCCCGAGGGGAAUUUGCUGCUGUAGUACCAUCUAGUGGCCGUCCGCCGGCCGGCGCGCGGGGAAGGGGGGAGUGUCCUAUCCAGUUAAUUAUAAUACAUCCAUGGGUCUAUUAGAUCCACGCUGAGAAUGGCGGACACGAGAGAAGAGCGGCUGAAGGCAAAAGCAACUUUUAAGAAGAACCUGGACACUUAACAUGCACACUUUCUCAAAGCUAGGGAUGUUAUGACUCGUGACAGUUAUAAAGUUUGUAAUUAUGUCACGUCUGUCGUAUUUGACCGCAAAAAAAGUACUUUUUGCUCGUAGCUAGUUUUGCACAAUGGGAUUUUCAGCCGUUCCCUGGAUCUAACCCCACGACCAAAAGGUGACUCUGCGUUCUUCCUGCUUGUAAGAAACUACGAGUUAGGAGGAAGCGUCUGGGGAGAGCAAGAGACCUGGAGGCGGAUGUGUUCUGAGGAUACAACGGGAUGUGAGUUGAACCUUUUGUGCACCUCUUAACCCCCACCUUAACUGAGGGCAUUUUCUCCAGUUCAGCUUCACCCAAAUCUAAAAGCUUGUC